AACGAACGCUGGCGGCAGGCUUAACACAUGCAAGUCGAACGCGUGUAGCAAUACACGAGUGGCGCACGGGUGAGUAACGCGUGGAUAUCUGCCUUUUGGUUCGGAAUAACCCCGGGAAACUGGGGCUAAUACCGGAUGGUUCCUUCGGGAUAAAGAUUUAUCGCCAAAAGAUGAGUCCGCGUCCGAUUAGCUAGUUGGUGAGGUAAUGGCUCACCAAGGCGACGAUCGGUAGCUGGUCNGAGAGGACGAUCAGCCACACUGGGACUGAGACACGGCCCAGACUCCUACGGGAGGCAGCAGUGGGGAAUAUUGGACAAUGGGGGCAACCCUGAUCCAGCCAUGCCGCGUGAGUGAUGAAGGCCUUCGGUUGUAAAGC
Molecule: ribosomal RNA, 376 nt
Filed under: uncultured bacterium
Lineage: Bacteria
Description: bacterial SSU rRNA
Rfam family: Bacterial small subunit ribosomal RNA
Source: RNAcentral